This is a long non-coding RNA of Meriones unguiculatus (Mongolian gerbil), 1475 nucleotides long. RefSeq lists it as uncharacterized. The transcript has 3 exons. The record is from RefSeq and is a predicted model, not a curated record. Lineage: Eukaryota; Metazoa; Chordata; Mammalia; Rodentia; Muridae.
CUCGUUUUUCAGAUGGAAAGAUGGAGGUGCCAUUAAGUAACUUCCCUGAGGUCACUCAGCCCAAUGGUGUAAGAAGCAGGAUGUUUAGGAGUUGCUGGCUCUGGACUUGGCGCACCCGGAAUCCUGCUGGCAAGAGCGCACAGCGGGACCCCAGCCUCCCAGCGCAGGAACAAGAGCGCGCUGGCACGGAGGCCCGCCAGCCAGGGCAGAGGUGGCACCGGGGCUGAGCUCUGGACACACGCACACACGCACGCACACACAUACACACACACACACACACGCACACACACACACACACACACGCACGCACGCACUCCCGCGGAACCGCUCUUGUACGCCCACAAACGAAGGAGGGGGCGCGGGUCCCGCCUCCCGGUUCCACCGGAUCUGGAGCCGCAGAGCGCACGCCAACACACCUGAAGACGCUUCCAGGAAGGGGCACUCGCGUUUCGGUGCUCGGGAGAGGACGGGCUGCACCGACCCACGCUCUGAUGAUGGCUUCCGAGGUGACAGGGAACCAAACCAAACCAAACCAAACCAGGGAGGUACGGAAAAAUGGAAAUCGAUGAAGAGGGCUGGAGAGGUGGCUCAGCGGUUAGAGCGCCGGCUGCUCUUCCAAAGGACUGGAUUUGAUCCCCAGGACCCACAGCUCGCAACCAUCUGUAACUCUAGUCCCCGGGAUCUAAUGCCCUCUUCUGACCACCAACGUCACCUGUCACACACGUGGUACACAGACAGGCACGCAAGCAAAACAACACAUACACAUAAAGUAGUAAUUAUUAGGAACCAAAAAAAUUGUAAAGAGAAAAAGAAGGGGUCGGAAUUAAGGCAUAGCGUGAAGGAAUGGGCGAGGGGGGUAAUACUGUGGAAACAGCGGUUGACAGGGUGUGUGCGUCCACCGAGGCUUUAUCCCAGGCUCCAGAAAUGAAGUUAAAAACAAGCAAAAAGAUGGAGAGAUGAAAAUAGAAAAGUAUGAAGAAACACACAGACGACUACAGGGACACACGCCUACGUCCGUGUGUGUAGUGUGUCUAUGCAUGUGUACUCACACAUAAAAUUAGUCUGUACACAAGAAUAUGUAAACACGCAUGCGUUUGUGCGCGUAGUGUGCUCGUAUGCGUACCCCGUGCACACACAUACCCACACCUGAAUGUCGACGAAUAGUUUUUUAAUUCCUGAAGUAGUUCUUUUUUUAGGAUACUUUUCACUAACAUUCUUUUGUUUGAAAACUUCUAGUAUGGAAAGCAACGGGUUUUCCUAUGUCACUUUCUUUCUUUAAAAAUAAAAGAGGCCCCCUGGGCUGGAGAGAUGGCUCAGAGGUUAACAGCACUGACUGUUCUUCCAAAGGUCCUGAGUUCAAUUCCCAGCCACCACGGGGUGGCUCACAACCAUCUAUAAUGAGAUCUGGUGCCCUCUCCUGGCCUGCUGGCAUACAUGCAUGCAGAAUACUGUAUGAAUAAUAAAUAAAAGAAUAA